Molecule: ribosomal RNA, 119 nt
Organism: Taeniopygia guttata (zebra finch)
Lineage: Eukaryota; Metazoa; Chordata; Aves; Passeriformes; Estrildidae
Source: Ensembl
GCCCACAGCCAUACCACUCUGAAAGCACCUGAUCUCGUCUGACCUUGGAAUCUAAGCAGGAUUGGGCCCAGUUAGUACUUGGAUGGGAGAUUGCCUGGAAAUAUUGGGUGAUGUAGGCU